This 445-nucleotide ribosomal RNA is filed under the name uncultured bacterium. RNAcentral describes it as "partial 16S ribosomal RNA". It matches the Rfam family "Bacterial small subunit ribosomal RNA", at positions 354 to 796 of the family's 1533-position model. The record is from RNAcentral.
GUGAGGAAUAUUGGUCAAUGGGCGGAAGCCUGAACCAGCCAUCCAGCGUGGAGGAAGACGGCCCUAUGGGUUGUAAACUUCUUUUCAAGGGGAAGAAAGUUCGCGACGUGUCGCGAUUUGCCGGUACCUUUGGAAUAAGCAUCGUCUAACUCCGUGCCAGCAGCCGCGGUAAUACGGAGGAUGCGAGCGUUAUCCGGAUUUAUUGGGUGUAAAGGGUGCGUAGGCCGAUAGAUAAGUCAGCGGUGAAAUACCAUGGCCCAACCAUGGAACUGCCGUUGAUACUGUCGGUCUUGAAUAUGGUCAAGGUAGGCGGAAUGUGUAAUGUAGCGGUGAAAUGCUUAGAUAUUACACAGAACACCGAUUGCGAAGGCAGCUUACUGGUCCAUUAUUGACGCUGAGGCACGAAAGCGUGGGGAUCGAACAGGAUUAGAAACCCGGGUAGUCC